This 477-nucleotide ribosomal RNA is filed under the name Shewanella algae. RNAcentral's name for it is "bacterial SSU rRNA". It matches the Rfam family "Bacterial small subunit ribosomal RNA", at positions 507 to 983 of the family's 1533-position model. Lineage: Bacteria; Pseudomonadati; Pseudomonadota; Gammaproteobacteria; Alteromonadales; Shewanellaceae. The record is from RNAcentral.
GCCAGCAGCCGCGGUAAUACGGAGGGUGCGAGCGUUAAUCGGAAUUACUGGGCGUAAAGCGUGCGCAGGCGGUUUGUUAAGCGAGAUGUGAAAGCCCCGGGCUCAACCUGGGAACCGCAUUUCGAACUGGCAAACUAGAGUCUUGUAGAGGGGGGUAGAAUUCCAGGUGUAGCGGUGAAAUGCGUAGAGAUCUGGAGGAAUACCGGUGGCGAAGGCGGCCCCCUGGACAAAGACUGACGCUCAGGCACGAAAGCGUGGGGAGCAAACAGGAUUAGAUACCCUGGUAGUCCACGCCGUAAACGAUGUCUACUCGGAGUUUGGUGUCUUGAACACUGGGCUCUCAAGCUAACGCAUUAAGUAGACCGCCUGGGGAGUACGGCCGCAAGGUUAAAACUCAAAUGAAUUGACGGGGGCCCGCACAAGCGGUGGAGCAUGUGGUUUAAUUCGAUGCAACGCGAAGAACCUUACCUACUCUUG